UAGAUGUUCAGGGUACAAUUGAUGAAAUCGAUCACCGAUAUUUGCUAGAAAAUGCCGUUUAUGUUAACCAAGACUACCAUUUCAACAAGUCCAUCUUGUUCUCUGGGAAAUUAUCCUCCUUCGAUAACAUCAACGUGACCUCCCUGAACGGAGCAGGA
Long non-coding RNA from Penaeus monodon (black tiger shrimp), 158 nucleotides. RefSeq lists it as uncharacterized. NCBI's taxonomy places the organism in Eukaryota, Metazoa, Arthropoda, Malacostraca, Decapoda, Penaeidae. The record is from RefSeq and is a predicted model, not a curated record. The transcript is spliced from 3 exons.